This is a long non-coding RNA of Varanus komodoensis (Komodo dragon), 263 nucleotides long. RefSeq lists it as uncharacterized. Lineage: Eukaryota; Metazoa; Chordata; Lepidosauria; Squamata; Varanidae. The record is from RefSeq and is a predicted model, not a curated record. The transcript is spliced from 2 exons.
CCCUCUUUGAAUGCGUUUCAUCAGAUGGGUAACAUACCUGCAAAGAAAUAAUGCCCGAGUACGUGAUUGCAAUAUGCUCUAGUUCCAUUAAGGACAUGUGUUAAGAAGGAUUCUGGUGUGCUUUGAGCGAUCUGGAUUGUGUGUAUCUUCAUAAAAGGCAGAUAAUUCUUUCAAGCACGAUUGAAUUCAGUGGGAUGUGAUGCCUGUAAACAGGUAAUGGAAUGAUCUGUGAAUUAAAAUGCCUCAAGUAUUCAAAUAGUAAA